AGAGUUUGAUCAUGGCUCAGGAUGAACGCUGGCGGCGUGCUUAACACAUGCAAGUCGAACGGAAAGGCCAGUGCUUGCGCUGGUACUCGAGUGGCGAACGGGUGAGUAACACGUGGGUGAUCUGCCCUGCACUUCGGGAUAAGCUUGGGAAACUGGGUCUAAUACCGGAUAGGACCAUUGGUUGGUGCCUUUGGUGGAAAGUUUUUCGGUGUGGGAUGAGCUCGCGGCCUAUCAGCUUGUUGGUGGGGUAAUGGCCUACCAAGGCGUCGACGGGUAGCCGGCCUGAGAGGGUGUACGGCCACAUUGGGACUGAGAUACGGCCCAGACUCCUACGGGAGGCAGCAGUGGGGAAUAUUGCACAAUGGGCGCAAGCCUGAUGCAGCGACGCCGCGUGGGGAUGACGGCCUUCGGGUUGUAAACUCCUUUCGCCAAAGACGAACGUGGACGGUAUUUGGAGAAGAAGCACCGGCUAACUACGUG
This 480-nucleotide ribosomal RNA is filed under the name uncultured bacterium. RNAcentral describes it as "bacterial SSU rRNA". It matches the Rfam family "Bacterial small subunit ribosomal RNA", at positions 8 to 507 of the family's 1533-position model. The record is from RNAcentral.